GCUGUGCUAGUGUAGAUGGUUAACAUACCAGACUGUGGAUCUGGAGAUCCCGGGUUCGAUCCCCGGGCACGGCC
RNAcentral lists this transfer RNA (74 nucleotides) under Methanobacteriota archaeon. Its description in RNAcentral is "Euryarchaeota archaeon tRNA-His". It matches the Rfam family "tRNA". Rfam says of the family: Transfer RNA (tRNA) molecules are approximately 80 nucleotides in length. Their secondary structure includes four short double-helical elements and three loops (D, anti-codon, and T loops). The record is from RNAcentral. Lineage: Archaea; Methanobacteriati; Methanobacteriota. RNAcentral also lists the same sequence under 1 other name.